ACAUAACUGAUGCCUCCGCGUAUCGACUUUGUGCGCAUUUUAGCUAUUAUGUGUUCUUUUAAUUAAAAUGAUUCUUUUUAAGAUUCAUCUAUUAAAAAUUUGCUUCGGCACAAUUUUUUUUGAUGAUCUUGUUACUUUGAGUAAAUUAGAGUGUUCAAAGCAAACAGAUAUAGCAUUUGUGCGUUUGAAUACUACAGCAUGGAAUAACAAAAUUGAACAAGUCAGAAUUUUUUUGUUCUUUUUUCUUAUUUUGGCUUAGUUACGAUUAAUAGGAGUAGCUUGGGGGCAUUUGUAUUCAGAUGUCAGAGGUGAAAUUCUUAGAUUUUCUGGAGACAAACAACUGCGAAAGCAUUUGCCUAAAAUACUUCCAUUAAUCAAGAACGAAAGUUAAGGGAGUGAAGACGAUCAGAUACCGUCGUAAUCUUAACCAUAAACUAUGCCGACUAGGCUUUGGAUGAAAGAUUUUAAAAUAAGAGUUUUUCUUUUCUCUCCGGAGAUUAGAACUCUUAGAUUGCUUCCUUCAGUGCCUUAUGAGAAAUCAAAGUCUUUGGGUUCUGGGGCGAGUAUUCGCGCAAGCGAGAAAGUUAAAAGAAUUGACGGAAGGGCACCACCAGGCGUGGAGCUUGCGGCUUAAUUUGACUCAACACGGGAAAACUCACUAGUUUAAGACAAGAGUAGGAUUGACAGAUUAAUAGCUCUUUCUUGAUUUCUUGGAUGGUGAUGCAUGGCCGUUUUUAGUUCGUGAAUAUGAUUUGUCUGGUUAAUUCCGAUAACGAACGAGAUCUUAACCUGCUAAUUAGCGGCAAAUACGAUAUAUUCUUAUGUAGAAUUGAACAUAGUGGAUUUGUUGGAUUUUGAAGAAAAUAUUGGAAUUACGUUAAGUGUGAUUCCUUUCCCUUUUCUACUUAAUUUACAUUUCCAUCUAUUUCUUUUUUGCGUAUGAAUGUAUUUGCUUGAUUGUAAAGCUUCUUAGAGGAACGAUGUGUG
RNAcentral lists this ribosomal RNA (987 nucleotides) under Plasmodium knowlesi. RNAcentral describes it as "SSU rRNA". It matches the Rfam family "Eukaryotic small subunit ribosomal RNA", at positions 638 to 1428 of the family's 1831-position model. Lineage: Eukaryota; Apicomplexa; Aconoidasida; Haemosporida; Plasmodiidae. The record is from RNAcentral.